UAAAACUAGAAGUUUGUGUAAACUAAGCCAGUACUACUACUUAAUCGUUACAUUGCUCUCUCAGGCUGUAUAUAUAUAACAGCACUCGAAGGAAGAAGCACGACGUGAUUCACAAAAUUACCAAGAUUCAAACUCCAAAGACAAAUCUGGCCUAAACGAACUGGCAAGUAAAUCGCCAUCCUUUGAAGCAACAAAGCGGCAGGUUUAUUGUCAACUGUCAAGUAAUUGAACUGUAUAUCGUGAUCUAGAGAUUAGGGAAUUGAAGGUAAAUUCUGCUUGGGUUUGACAUGAUUGAACGUUUGUUCCAAACAGUUUGAAUCCAUGAUGCUUUUCAACAGUCUUCACCGAAGAGGCGACGAAGACGGGAAGCAAAGAGACCAGUAGGCUCAGCAGCAGCUUCAGCAAGCAAACUUUGCCUAAUAUGAUCCAUUCGCCGAACAAGUCCUUGUUGUUCUUCCUCAAGCGCAGCAUUAUCCUCCAUUA
RNAcentral lists this unclassified non-coding RNA (483 nucleotides) under Hevea brasiliensis (rubber tree). The record is from RNAcentral. Lineage: Eukaryota; Viridiplantae; Streptophyta; Magnoliopsida; Malpighiales; Euphorbiaceae.